This 201-nucleotide long non-coding RNA is filed under the name Vigna radiata. Its description in RNAcentral is "long non-coding RNA (VRAD_LNC001801)". The record is from RNAcentral. Lineage: Eukaryota; Viridiplantae; Streptophyta; Magnoliopsida; Fabales; Fabaceae.
AAGUGACUCCUAGGUCGUCUCUCAAGGACCAAUUUUGCAGUUCAAAAUCGAGUCUAACACGAAGUGGGGGGUUGUGAAAUUGGUUUUGUUUGUGAAUGCAACUGACGAAAUUAAAAAUAAAAAUUAAACACAUUCGAACAUCAUAAAAAGCGUUAAAGAGAGUGAAAAUGUUAAACCCAAUACUAGACUAAACAAAUAUCU